ACCGAUAGUGAACCAGUACCGUGAGGGAAAGGCGAAAAGAACCCCUAGCAGGGGAGUGAAAUAGACCCUGAAACCGGAUGCUUACAAGCAGUUGGAGCCUCUUUAUGAGGUGACAGCGUACCUUUUGUAUAAUGGGUCAGCGACUUAAUCUCAUUAGCAAGCUUAAGCCAUAUAGGUGUAGGCGAAGCGAAAGCGAGUCUGAAUAGGGCGAUUUAGUUAAUGGGAUUAGACUCGAAACCGGGUGAUCUAGUCAUGAGCAGGUUGAAAGUGAAGUAAAAUUCACCGGAGGACCGAACCCACUAGCGUUGAAAAGCUACGGGAUGACUUGUGAUUAGGGGUGAAAGGCCAACCAAACUCGGAAAUAGCUAGUUCUCCGCGAAAACUAUUUAGGUAGUGCGUCGUGUGAAUCUUAUUGGGGGUAGAGCACUGAAUGGGCUAGGGGGAAGCAAUUCCUACCAAACCUAAUCAAACUCCGAAUACCAGUAAGUCUGCACGGCAGACAGUCCAUGGGUGCUAAGGUCCUUGGACGAGAGGGAAACAGCCCAGAUCAACAGCUAAGGUCCCCAAAUAAUGAUUAAGUGUGAAAGGGAGUGGGAACUCCAAGACAGCCAGGAGGUUGGCUUAGAAGCAGCCAUCCUUUAAAGAAAGCGUAACAGCUCACUGGUCUAAUUAAGAGAUCCUGCACCGAAAAUGUAACGGGGCUCAAAUCAUUUACCGAAGCUUUGACAAUUACUUUUAGUAAUUGGGUAGCGGAGCGUUCUGUAAGCCUGUAAAGGUGAUGCGUAAGCAUUGCUGGAGGUAUCAGAAGUGCGAAUGCUGACAUGAGUAACGAUAAGAAAUGUGAAAGACAUUUCCGCCGAAAUCCUAAGGUUUCCUGCGUAAAGCUAAUCUGCGCAGGGUUAGUCGGCCCCUAAGGCGAGGGCGAAAGCCGUAGUCGAUGGGAAGCAGGUUAAUAUUCCUGCACCAGCUGGUAGUGACGGAUGAAGUAAAUUGUGAGUUCUUACUGGAUUGAACUUGCAGUGAAUUUGUCCCUGGAAAUAGCUCCAGCAUUAGACCGUACCAAAACCGACACAGGUAGGAGGGUAGAGAAUACCAAGGCGCUUGAGAGAACUAUGUUGAAGGAACUCGGCAAAUUACACUUGUAACUUCGGGAUAAAAGUGACCUGCUAUUGGGCAACCAGUAGGAGGUGGCACAGAAGAGGGGGUAGCGACUGUUUACUAAAAACAUAGCACUAUGCAAAGUCGAAAGACGACGUAUAUGGUGUGACGCCUGCCCGGUGCCGGAAGGUUAAUAGGAGGGGUGCAAGCCCUGAAUUGAAGCCCCGGUGAACGGCGGCCGUAACUAUAACGGUCCUAAGGUAGCGAAAUUCCUUGUCGGGUAAGUUCCGACCUGCACGAAUGGCGUAACGAUUUCCCCACUGUCUCCAACAUAGACUCAGUGAAAUUGAAUUCUCGGUUAAGAUGCCGAGUAACCGUGGUUAGACGGAAAGACCCCGUGCACCUUUACUGCAGCUUUGUAUUGGUAUUAGGGAACAGAUGUGUAGCAUAGGUGGGAGACUUUGAAGGAGUGGCGCUAGCCAUUCUGGAGUCACUAGUGAAAUACCACUCUUCUGUUCCUUGAUGCCUAACCAUACACCGUCAUCCGGUGUUGGGACCAUGCAUGGUGGGCAGUUUGACUGGGGCGGUCGCCUCCCAAAGAGUAACGGAGGCGCGCGAUGGUAGGCUCAGAACGCUUGGAAACCGUUCGUCGAGUGCAAUGGCAUAAGCCUGCCUGACUGCGAGACCCACAAGUCGAGCAGAGACGAAAGUCGGUCAUAGUGAUCCGGUGGCACUUCGUGGAAGGGCCAUCGCUCAACGGAUAAAAGGUACGCCGGGG
RNAcentral lists this ribosomal RNA (1876 nucleotides) under marine metagenome. RNAcentral's name for it is "bacterial LSU rRNA". It matches the Rfam family "Bacterial large subunit ribosomal RNA", at positions 483 to 2473 of the family's 2925-position model. The record is from RNAcentral.